RNAcentral lists this long non-coding RNA (4287 nucleotides) under Homo sapiens (human). Its description in RNAcentral is "HSALNT0082008". Lineage: Eukaryota; Metazoa; Chordata; Mammalia; Primates; Hominidae. The record is from RNAcentral.
GCAAAGGUUCACAGCAGCAAUGCCCGCUGCAGCGGGAAACAAUUGUUGCCGUUUGUAAGGGCCCUGGCUGUGCCAGAUAUGCCUCGGUUUAUUGAGAUGCUCUCUAAAUAAACAAGCCUCAGAUUCCACUGGGUCUUCAUACUACCAAUUGCUCCAGGUUUUAAUGUUGCAACUAUAGGAAAGAUGGAAGUGAUGAUGUCGUGAGCUCACACCAGGCUGCUUGCUGGAACUUCCGUGAAUGCUCCAGCACGCUGCCCACGGUACUCUGGGACAUCUCGCUUGGCUUCACUUUUUUAUCUGUGUUGUCUCCGGCCUCUGUACCUUCAUGACAGGUCUGCCCGGUGGGGCCCAGCUGAUGCCCCCCACUGCCUCCCACCUGCAGCCUGGUGGCCAGGACAUCCACCUCUCCCAUCCCUGCAGCUUGGCUGAGAUGAUGAGCUGAUGUAAGCACGUGGUGCUGAGCCUUGGGGCUAGCUGGAGGACCACACAGAGCGUAAGAGAUGCCUGCACUAAAAGGGCUUGGCUGCCCUCACAAUUGCUGUACUGCCCGCAGCAGGCUUCCCUCCAUGGACACAGGCGCCACCACCCACACCCCACCAGGAAGAAUCCCCAGGUAGCUCCACACCUUGGAAUGAAGGCCAAGCAAGCUGCAGAGAGGAAAGCCUUACUUUCCCCAGUCUCAGUCCACUUCUUUUUGUACUCUGGGAUUAAACUCUUUUCAGGAUGACUAACAGUGGAAGCAUCUAUUUGUUCAGAAGGAAACAGCCACUCCGACCCACAGGUUCUGGUCUCUGCCGGCCGGUGCCAGUCAAUAGAGUAACUGAUGAUGAAUUUCACAAAGCCCAGUCCAUUCCGUCUCAGAUGCCAAUAAGAAUCCGUCCAGGCCAGGUGCAGUGGCUCGCGCCUGUCAUCCCAGCACUUUGGUAGGCCAAGGCGGGAGGAUCAUUGGAGCCAGUAAUUCGAGACCCGCCUGGGCAACGUAGGAAGACCCUGUUUCUACAAAAAGAAAAAGGAAUCCGUCCAGGAGGACAAACGCUGUCAGCUCCAAUUCUAGGAGGUACAUGGAGUAGUCACAUUCAUAGAGACAAGACAUAGAUUGGUGGUUGUCAGGGCCUGGCGGGAAGGGGAGGGGGAAUUAGGGUUUAGCAGGUACAGAGGAAGCUUCAGUUGGUUGGAUGAAAAAGUUUUGGAGCUAGGGCACGGUGAUGGCUGUACAAAAAUGUGAGUGUGUAUCAGGCCACAGAACUGCACACUUAAAAAUGAAUACAAUGGGGACUUUUAUCUUAUGCACAUUUUAUCACAAUUUUAGCAAAUCAGUCCAGGUUGCACCAUGCUGCAUCUGGACUGUUCUUGUCACCAUCUCUCUCCAGUGUGAGGCGAGAUAGAGGCCAGAUCUGGGGGCAGAGUCCAGCAUUGGCUGCAGGCCUCCUGUGAGCAAGCUUAGACCAAAAGGCACACAAACAUUUCCCAAGAGCAACAACAGUUUCCUGCUCAGGCCAAGUCUGCAUGUGGGGAGAAGAACAAAAUAUUUCUCCGAACUCUGCAGGGUGCAGUUCAGCGGGCACUCUCAAAUGCACUCAGGGCGUGCAGGGGGCCCCAGGAGAAUAAUGAACAUGCCUCGAGUUCAUGGCUCCCAAAGACCCCGCCUGGUUCAUUUUCUCAAAACAAAAGAAGCCUUUCUAGGGCAUUAAGAGCUUCGACCUCCAGUGCAGAAACUGCUGGCGACUUUGAAAUGGCAGCCCUCCAGCCACAAAGAAAAUCUCCAGGCUCUGCAUGCCGCGCUUACACACAGACAUUGCGGCACUCUCAAAAUCUGCACAGAUUUGCAAGAUGGAACUUGCCUUCAAAGAAAUGUUGUCUCCCUUCUGGCUAGACAUCCCUGCCCUUUGGGGUUCUUUGCUCUCUCGCCUUCAGCCUUCAGGAGCAGUUGAGUGGAAAGUUUGGGAAGUCUGAGCCGGGGUCAACUCUCUCUGGAGUUGCCUGCCUUGGGAAAGGCCCAGGUUGAAGUCUUCCUUGCUAGAGGCCCCGCCCAGACACCUGAGUAGCCCACCCUGUUGAACAGCUUAGCAUUCUCCACUUGUAAGGACUUUGACUACAAUGAGCCUGAAGGGAGCUGAAAUGCAAGAAAAGAAAAAGAACAGCUUCAUGUGCCACAGUGAAAUCCCACCAAGAGAAUUCUCUGAGAUGGUUCACAAGCCCUCAACAGACCCUCCUGGGCACGCCAGACCCCCUGUCAGAUCUCAGCAGCCCCAGUGGAGCUCUGGGGUUCACACAGUCACCAAGAAAAGGGAGUCCAGCAAGUCACUGCGGGUGACCCUAAGGUGGGCAUGCAUAGGCACUGAGCCUCUGUUAGGAGAGGAUUCUCUAAAGCAAGAAAAAAAUAUUCGAACAACGAUCAAAUCUGGGCCCAAGUCCACGGAUUGUGUUGACUACUCUGAAAGAGAUUUUCCACCUCCCCAACUUUCGGAGAAGUUAAUUUAAAAGAAAACCCUACAUCUGCUGUUCUUUUUGGCUGCUCAGCAUCUCAGCUUGUCCAUUUCAGGAACCCCCUGCCCUGUGGAGGAAAAGCCUGCCUUGUAUAGUACAGGAUAAAAGUGCUGGAGAGCACCUGCCCGGACUCCCACAGUGAGCGGUGGCCCAGGCUCUGCCUGCUCCCCAGCCCUAGCCCAGGCUGUGGACUGGAAGUGGCUGAUGGGAGGUAGCAGGGGUGAGGCCGGCUCCGCCCUGAGGAUGGGUGUGGCCGCUGCAGAGGUUCUGGAAGCUCUGGGGACCGCACUGUAAACAGCUGCUGGUCCCAGCAGCAGCCACGGAGGUUCUGGGCUAUGGCUGGGUGGUGCUCCUAAGUGGCCUCAUUCUCCAGUGAUUCCAACAGGACACCCGAUACCCUUUCCAAUACAGUCCCUUUCCACUUGAAUGAACCAGAGUCUUUUUCUAUUGCUUAAAUCUAAAAUUCCCAAAUGCGGUAUGCCACUAGCACUGUAUGCCAGAGAAUCUCUCAUUUUCUUUUAUUUUAAAAAAUUUAUUUUUCAAGGGCUUUAAGGGUACCAGUGGUUUUUGGUUACAUGGAUGAAUUGUGUAGUGGUGAAGUCUGGGCUUUUAGUGCACCCGUCCCUGGAAUAGUGUACAUUGUACCAGUCCCUGGAAUGUACAUUGUACCCGUCCCUGGAUAGUGCACAUUGUACCCAUCCCUGGAAUAGUGUACACUGUACCCGUCCCUGGAAUAGUGUACACUGUACCCGACAUGUGAUUUUUCAUCCCUCCCUCCCCUGUUGCAAGUCCCCAAUGUCCAUCGUACCCACUCUGUAUGCCUUUCCGUACCCAUAGCUUAGCUCCCAUUUAUAAGUGAGAACAUGUGGUAUUUGAUUUUCUGUUCCUGAGUGACUCUAUUUUGUUUUAGGUUAAACCCUGACUUGGCAAUAAAACCUUGAACAUCCUGGGAUACUUUUGAAGUCAUAUUUAAUUCUUUGAAAGCACAGGCAGUGAAGUCCACAACUCCUGGAGCCCCGUCUUUAUGGAGGAGAGGGAGGCAGAGGAAUGGACACUAUAGGCAUUAGUAGUGAGCAAAAUAUUUCCCAAUGGUCUGAAAGAAUCAAUGGGCCCAACUAAAGGAUACCUGAAGAUCAAGGCUUGCCGGCAGGAGGAAGAGCCGGUCUCAGAAUACAGCCCAGGGCAUGUGGACUGCAGAGGGCUGCAGAGAGAGGGACAGGCCUCCUGCUUCUCCUUCUGUGUCCCUCAGCCAUCCUCCUUCAGUUUUCCCUGGACAAUAUGGUGCCAAUCACAUAAUCGGAGAGUUGGGGACCCUUGCUGGGCCCUGCAGAAACUUGUGGCAAUAAGGCAGAGGGCAGGUGCAUUGAACGUGGGUUCAGAAGCCCCGGCCUGAACCAGGGCUAUUCCCCGGCUGUGAGCUGGAAACUUUGAUGGGGCAGCCCAUGCGGUCCCUCAGGGCCAGCCUCCUCCUUUGUAAAUAAGGGCAGGAGGGAUUUAAAUCACUGAUUUAAGUCAGGGGUUCUCAAAUUCUAGUGCAAGAACUGGUGCUAGACUGUGAAAAAGUAUUCAUUUUCACAGGUUGAUGGAGAAAAGAGAAAACCACAAUAACAAAAAAAGUAAUAAUUUUGUCCUGAAGCUAAUUUAUUUCUAUUAAAAUGCUGAGAAGUUCUGUUUUGUUACAAUUCACUUUGCAUGUGAAUUCUAUCACAGUGGUGAGGUGGAUGAUAUGUAUUCUAAUUACUUCAUCUGAGUGAAUAAAAAGUUAGCAACUCAAUACAGUUCUUCCAAAUCUUUUUUUUU